This 321-nucleotide ribosomal RNA is filed under the name Blastocatellia bacterium. RNAcentral describes it as "bacterial LSU rRNA". It matches the Rfam family "Bacterial large subunit ribosomal RNA", at positions 2595 to 2925 of the family's 2925-position model. Lineage: Bacteria; Pseudomonadati; Acidobacteriota; Blastocatellia. The record is from RNAcentral.
GGUACGUGAGCUGGGUUUAGAACGUCGCGAGACAGUUCGGUCCCUAUCUGGUGUGGGCGGAGCAGGAUUGAGGGAAUCUGUCCUUAGUACGAGAGGACCGGGAUGGAUCCACCUCUAGUGUACGAGUUAUGGCGCCAGCCGUAACGCUCGGUAGCUAUGUGGAGCAUGGAUAAACGCUGAAUGCAUCUAAGCGUGAAGCCAGACCCAAGAUUAGUCCUGACUGUGAGACUCCUGGUAGACCACCAGGUUGAUAGGCUGGAAAUGUAAGUGCAGUAAUGUGCUCAGUUGACCAGUACUAAUCAGUCCCUUGGCUUGACCGUA